RNAcentral lists this ribosomal RNA (576 nucleotides) under uncultured Neocallimastigomycetes. RNAcentral's name for it is "partial large subunit ribosomal RNA". It matches the Rfam family "Eukaryotic large subunit ribosomal RNA", at positions 202 to 629 of the family's 3401-position model. The record is from RNAcentral. Lineage: Eukaryota; Fungi; Neocallimastigomycota; Neocallimastigomycetes.
UCAUAGAGGGUGAGAAUCCCGUAUUUGACCAUUAUUUUCAGCUGUGUGAUACACUUUCAAAGAGUCGGAUUGUUUGGGAAUGCAGUCCAAAAUGGGUGGUAAAUUUCAUCUAAAGCUAAAUAUUGGCGAGAGACCGAUAGCGAACAAGUACCGUGAGGGAAAGAUGAAAAGAACUUUGAAAAGAGAGUUAAACAGUACGUGAAAUUGUCAAAAGGGAAGCGUUUGACACCAGUGUUGUUUUCUCGAAAAUCAAUUAAAAAAAGUUGGAUUUUGUGUUGUAUUGACCUUAACAGCUUGCUUCACUCUUUUCCUGCUUUUUUUUAAUGCACUUUUCGUUUAACAAGUCAACAUCAGUUUCUUUUGUUGCAAAAGGGUCAUUGGAAGGUGGCUUUCUCUUCGGAGAAAGUGUUUAUAGCCUUUGAUCUCUGCAAUCGGAGAGACUGAGGUCUGCAGCGCAGAUCCUUCGGGGUUAGAUACAUUUGUGCUAAGCUACAGCUUUUCAUAGACAACUUGUUGACUAUGUUUAGUCUUGUGACUUACCCGCUUAUGCUAUUUUACCUACGCUUAGGAUGUUGA